CACGUAGGGUGCGAGCGUUGUCCGGAAUUAUUGGGCGUAAAGAGCUCGUAGGCGGUGUGUCGCGUCGGCCGUGAAAACUUGCAGCUUAACUGUGGGCGUGCGGUCGAUACGGGCAUCACUGGAGUGCGGCAGGGGAGACUGGAAUUCCUGGUGUAGCGGUGAAAUGCGCAGAUAUCAGGAGGAACACCGGUGGCGAAGGCGGGUCUCUGGGCCGAUACUGACGCUGAGGAGCGAAAGCGUGGGGAGCGAACAGG
This 254-nucleotide ribosomal RNA is filed under the name uncultured bacterium. Its description in RNAcentral is "partial 16S ribosomal RNA". It matches the Rfam family "Bacterial small subunit ribosomal RNA", at positions 524 to 776 of the family's 1533-position model. The record is from RNAcentral.